This 253-nucleotide ribosomal RNA is filed under the name uncultured bacterium. RNAcentral describes it as "partial 16S ribosomal RNA". It matches the Rfam family "Bacterial small subunit ribosomal RNA", at positions 524 to 776 of the family's 1533-position model. The record is from RNAcentral.
UACGUAGGUGGCAAGCGUUGUCCGGAAUUACUGGGUGUAAAGGGAGCGCAGGCGGGAAGCCAAGUCAGCUGUGAAAACUACGGGCUUAACUUGUAGACUGCAGUUGAAACUGGUUUUCUUGAGUGAAGUAGAGGUUGGCGGAAUUCCGAGUGUAGCGGUGAAAUGCGUAGAUAUUAGGAGGAACACCAGUGGCGAAGGCGGCCUGCUGGACGGUGACUGACGCUGAGGCUCGAAAGCGUGGGGAGCAAACAGG